RNAcentral lists this ribosomal RNA (560 nucleotides) under uncultured bacterium. Its description in RNAcentral is "bacterial SSU rRNA". It matches the Rfam family "Bacterial small subunit ribosomal RNA", at positions 338 to 915 of the family's 1533-position model. The record is from RNAcentral.
CCUACGGGAGGCAGCAGUGGGGAAUAUUGGACAAUGGGCGAAAGCCUGAUCCAGCAAUGCCGCGUGAGUGAUGAAGGCCUUCGGGUCGUAAAGCUCUUUUACCAGGGAUGAUAAUGACAGUACCUGGAGAAUAAGCUCCGGCUAACUCCGUGCCAGCAGCCGCGGUAAUACGGAGGGAGCUAGCGUUGUUCGGAAUUACUGGGCGUAAAGAGUACGUAGGCGGUUAUUCAAGUCAGAGGUGAAAGCCCGGGGCUCAACCCCGGAACUGCCUUUGAAACUAGAUAACUAGAGUCUUGGAGAGGUUAGUGGAAUUCCGAGUGUAGAGGUGAAAUUCGUAGAUAUUCGGAAGAACACCAGUGGCGAAGGCGACUAACUGGACAAGUACUGACGCUGAGGUACGAAAGCGUGGGGAGCAAACAGGAUUAGAUACCCUGGUAGUCCACGCCGUAAACGAUGAUAACUAGUUGUUCGGUCACUUGGUGACUGAGUGACGCAGCUAACGCAUUAAGUUAUCCGCCUGGGGAGUACGGUCGCAAGAUUAAAACUUAAAUGAAUUGACG